ACGCUCGACACCUACGGGGCAGCAGUGAGGAAUAUUGGUCAAUGGGCGCAGGCCUGAACCAGCCAAGUAGCGUGAAGGAUGACUGCCCUAUGGGUUGUAAACUUCUUUUAUAUGGGAAUAAAGUUUUCCACGUGUGGAAUUUUGUAUGUACCAUAUGAAUAAGGAUCGGCUAACUCCGUGCCAGCAGCCGCGGUAAUCUGAGGCGGGCUGGCAAGGC
RNAcentral lists this ribosomal RNA (217 nucleotides) under uncultured bacterium. RNAcentral's name for it is "partial 16S ribosomal RNA". It matches the Rfam family "Bacterial small subunit ribosomal RNA", at positions 326 to 539 of the family's 1533-position model. The record is from RNAcentral.